AGUGGGAAGAGCGGGGCCUCUGGACCUGCUCCUUGUUCCUGGAGCACGGAGAGCACUGAUGGGCACCCGCCGGGCACAGCCCCUGCAGCACCGAGGUUCAGCCAGCACCGCGACAGGUGCCGGCCUGGUGCAGACUUGGGAGCGCACACUUCAAUGGCUGUUCCCUGGGCAACGGAGUUGCCGCUGCCAGCUGGCUCUGCCCCCAGAGCCCAUCAAAGCACACACCCUGCCAGGAGCCGGCGCAGCAGCCCGUGCGGCCGUCUGUAGGCACCGAUGUCGGUGCGUUGGCAGUCGGGUUUCAAGGUUAAACAUGAGGGAAUGAACGGGAUGACUAACGAGACAGAGACCACAAUCUGGCUUCAGACAGCAAAGUCCUGACAUGUGCAGCCGUGUGGAGGAUGCCGAAGGAAUUGGAAUCAGGCAGCCACGAGUCCCCUGAUGAUUCAUCCAGCACUGCGCAGACCCUGGAGCUGCUCUGUCACCUUGACAACACAGCCCAUGGCAACAUGGCCUGUGUCGUGUGGGAGCCAAUGGGAGAUGGGAAGAAAAUCAUUUCCUUGGCUGAUAACCAUAUCCU
This 577-nucleotide small RNA is filed under the name Pan troglodytes (chimpanzee). Its description in RNAcentral is "processed transcript". The record is from RNAcentral. Lineage: Eukaryota; Metazoa; Chordata; Mammalia; Primates; Hominidae.